UACGUCGGGUGCAAGCGUUAAUCGGAAUUACUGGGCGUAAAGCGUGCGCAGGCGGUUUUGUAAGUCAGAUGUGAAAUCCCCGGGCUUAACCCGGGAACUGCGUUUGAAACUACAAGGCUAGAGUGUGGCAGAGGGGGGUGGAAUUCCACGUGUAGCAGUGAAAUGCGUAGAGAUGUGGAGGAACACCGAUGGCGAAGGCAGCCCCCUGGGUUAACACUGACGCUCAGGCACGAAAGCGUGGGGAGCAAACAGG
RNAcentral lists this ribosomal RNA (253 nucleotides) under uncultured bacterium. RNAcentral's name for it is "partial 16S ribosomal RNA". It matches the Rfam family "Bacterial small subunit ribosomal RNA", at positions 524 to 776 of the family's 1533-position model. The record is from RNAcentral.